GCCAGACUCCUACGGGAGGCAGCAGUGGGGGAUAUUGCACAAUGGGGGGAACCCUGAUGCAGCGACGCCGCGUGGGUGAAGGAGCGCUUCGGCGCGUAAAGCCCUCUCGGCAGGGAAGAAGGAGGACGGUACCUGACUAAGAAGCCCCGGCUAACUACGUGCCAGCAGCCGCGGUAAUACGUAGGGGGCAAGCGUUAUCCGGAUUUACUGGGUGUAAAGGGGGCGCAGACGGCGGCGCAAGCCAGAUGUGAAAGCCCGGGGCUCAACUCCGGGACUGCAUUUGGAACUGUGUGGCUGGAGUGUCGGAGAGGCAGGGGGAAUUCCUAGUGUAGCGGUGAAAUGCGUAGAUAUUAGGAGGAACACCAGUGGCGAAGGCGGCCUGCUGGACGAUGACUGACGUUGAGGCUCGAAAGCGUGGGGAGCAAACAGGAUUAGAUACCCCCGUA
Molecule: ribosomal RNA, 446 nt
Filed under: uncultured bacterium
Lineage: Bacteria
Description: bacterial SSU rRNA
Rfam family: Bacterial small subunit ribosomal RNA
Source: RNAcentral